Molecule: ribosomal RNA, 610 nt
Filed under: Trigonopterus oberprieleri
Lineage: Eukaryota; Metazoa; Arthropoda; Insecta; Coleoptera; Curculionidae
Description: SSU rRNA
Rfam family: Eukaryotic small subunit ribosomal RNA
Source: RNAcentral
GUCAUAUGCUUGUCUCAAAGAUUAAGCCAUGCAUGUCUCAGUACAAGCCAAAUUAAGGUGAAACCGCGAAAGGCUCAUUAAAUCAGUUAUGGUUCCUUAGAUCGUACCCACAAUUACUUGGAUAACUGUGGUAAUUCUAGAGCUAAUACAUGCAAACAGAGCUCCGACCGGAGACGGAAGGAGUGCUUUUAUUAGAUCAAAACCAAUCGGUGGCGGGCUCGCUCGUCAUCGUACAACUUGGUGACUCUGAAUAACUUUACGCUGAUCGCACGGUCAUCGCACCGGCGACGCAUCUUUCAAAUGUCUGCCUUAUCAACUGUCGAUGGUAGGUUCUGCGCCUACCAUGGUUGUAACGGGUAACGGGGAAUCAGGGUUCGAUUCCGGAGAGGGAGCCUGAGAAACGGCUACCACAUCCAAGGAAGGCAGCAGGCGCGCAAAUUACCCACUCCCGGCACGGGGAGGUAGUGACGAAAAAUAACGAUACGGGACUCAUCCGAGGCCCCGUAAUCGGAAUGAGUACACUCUAAACCCUUUAACGAGGAUCAAUUGGAGGGCAAGUCUGGUGCCAGCAGCCGCGGUAAUUCCAGCUCCAAUAGCGUAUAUUAAAGUU